RNAcentral lists this ribosomal RNA (406 nucleotides) under uncultured bacterium. RNAcentral describes it as "partial 16S ribosomal RNA". It matches the Rfam family "Bacterial small subunit ribosomal RNA", at positions 30 to 526 of the family's 1533-position model. The record is from RNAcentral.
AUUGAACGCUGGCGGCAGGCCUAACACAUGCAAGUCGAACGAGUGGCGGACGGGUGAGUAAUGUAUGGGAAUCUGCCUGAUGGAGGGGGAUAACUACUGGAAACGGUAGCUAAUACCGCAUACCAUCAGAUGUACCCAUAUGGGAUUAGCUGGUUGGUGGGGUAACGGCUUACCAAGGCGACGAUCCCUAGCUGGUCUGCGAGGAUGAACAGCCACACUGGAACUGAGACACGGCCCAGACUCCUACGGGAGGCAGCAGGGGGGAAUAUUGCACAAUGGGCGCAAGCCUGAUGCAGCCAUGCCGCGUGUAUGAAGAAGGCCUGCGGGUUGUAAAGUACUUUCAGCGGGGAGGCGUUACCCGAAGAAGAAGCACCGGCUAACUCCGUGCCAGCAGCCGCGGUAAUAC